GAUGAACGCUGGCGGCGUGCCUAAUACAUGCAAGUCGAGCGAACAGACGAGGAGCUUGCUCCUCUGACGUUAGCGGCGGACGGGUGAGUAACACGUGGAUAACCUACCUAUAAGACUGGGAUAACUUCGGGAAACCGGAGCUAAUACCGGAUAAUAUAUUGAACCGCAUGGUUCAAUAGUGAAAGACGGUUUUGCUGUCACUUAUAGAUGGAUCCGCGCCGCAUUAGCUAGUUGGUAAGGUAACGGCUUACCAAGGCAACGAUGCGUAGCCGACCUGAGAGGGGGUCGGGCCACAGGGAACGGGAGCCGCGGCCCAGGCCCCUAGGGGGGGCAGAAGUGGGGACUCUUCGCAAAUGGGGGAAAGCCUGAAGAGGCAGCGCCGGGGGGGUGAUGAAGUGCUGCGGACGGUAAAACUCUGUUAUUGGGGAAAACCAAAUGUGUAGGUAACUAUGCGCGUUUGAGGGGAACGUAUAAAGAAACCCCGGGUAAAUACCGU
Molecule: ribosomal RNA, 496 nt
Filed under: uncultured bacterium
Lineage: Bacteria
Description: partial 16S ribosomal RNA
Rfam family: Bacterial small subunit ribosomal RNA
Source: RNAcentral